This 254-nucleotide ribosomal RNA is filed under the name uncultured bacterium. RNAcentral's name for it is "partial 16S ribosomal RNA". It matches the Rfam family "Bacterial small subunit ribosomal RNA", at positions 524 to 776 of the family's 1533-position model. The record is from RNAcentral.
UACGUAGGGGGCAAGCGUUGUCCGGAAUCAUUGGGCGUAAAGAGCGUGUAGGCGGCCAGAUAAGUCCGCUGUGAAAUCUCGAGGCUCAACUUCGAGCUGUCGGUGGAAACUGUCUGGCUAGAGUCCGGAAGAGGAGAAUGGAAUUCCUGGUGUAGCGGUGAAAUGCGCAGAUAUCAGGAAGAACACCCGUGGCGAAGGCAGAUCUCUGGGACGUUACUGACGCUGGAGACGCGAAAGCGUGGGGAGCGAACAGG